This 587-nucleotide ribosomal RNA is filed under the name uncultured bacterium. Its description in RNAcentral is "partial 16S ribosomal RNA". It matches the Rfam family "Bacterial small subunit ribosomal RNA", at positions 355 to 1375 of the family's 1533-position model. The record is from RNAcentral.
UGGGGAAUAUUGGACAAUGGGCGAAAGCCUGAUCCAGCAAUGCCGCGUGUGUGAAGAAGGCCUUCGGGUUGUAAAGCACUUUUGUCCGGAAAGAAAUCCUUGGCUCUAAUACAGUCGGGGGAUGACGGUACCGGAAGAAUAAGCACCGGCUAACUACGUGCCAGCAGCCGCGGUAAUACGUAGGGUGCAAGCGUUAAUCGGAAUUACUGGGCGUAAAGCGUGCGCAGGCGGUUUGCUAAGACCGAUGUGAAAUCCCCGGGCUCAACCUGGGAACUGCAUUGGUGACUGGCAGGCUAGAGUAUGGCAGAGGAGGGUAGAAUUCCACGUGUAGCAGUGAAAUGCGUAGAGAUGUGGAGGAAUACCGAUGGCGAAGGCAGCCCCCUGGGCCAAAUACUGACGCUCAUGCACGAAAAGCGUGGGGAGCAAACAGGAUUAGAUACCCUGGUAGUCCACGCCCUAAACGAUGUCAACUAGUUGUUGGGGAUUCAUUUCCUUAGUAACGUAGCUAACGCGUGAAGUUGACCGCCUGGGGAGUACGGUCGCAAGAUUAAAACUCAAAUGAAUUGACGGGGUCAUAGCUGUUUCCU